GUCGCUUUGGCUGAGUGGUUAAGGCGUGUGCCUGCUAAGUAGAUGGGGUUUUCCCCGCGAGAGUUCGAAUCUUUCAGGCGACG
This is a non-coding RNA of Prosopis cineraria, 83 nucleotides long. The record is from the annotation of a RefSeq genome assembly. Lineage: Eukaryota; Viridiplantae; Streptophyta; Magnoliopsida; Fabales; Fabaceae.